This 459-nucleotide ribosomal RNA is filed under the name uncultured bacterium. RNAcentral describes it as "partial 16S ribosomal RNA". It matches the Rfam family "Bacterial small subunit ribosomal RNA", at positions 338 to 795 of the family's 1533-position model. The record is from RNAcentral.
CCUACGGGAGGCAGCAGUGAGGAAUAUUGGUCAAUGGGAGAGAGCCUGAACCAGCCAAGCCGCGUGAGGGAAGACGGCCCUAUGGGUUGUAAACCUCUUUUGUCGGAGAACAAAACCCGGGACGUGUCCCGGACUGCGUGUAUCCGAAGAAAAAGCAUCGGCUAACUCCGUGCCAGCAGCCGCGGUAAUACGGAGGAUGCGAGCGUUAUCCGGAUUUAUUGGGUUUAACGGGUGCGUGGGCGGUCCGUUAAGUCAGAGGUAAAAUUGCGGGGCUAAACCCCGUAGAGCCGUUGAAACUGGCAGACUUGAGUUGGCGAGAGGUACGCGGAAUGCGCGGUGUAGCGGUGAAAUGCAUAGAUAUCGCGCAGAACUCCGAUUGCGAAGGCAGCGUACCGGCGCCAGACUGACGCUGAGGCACGAAAGCGUGGGGAUCGAACAGGAUUAGAUACCCUAGUAGUC